GUCUACAGCCAUACCACCCUGAACAUGCCUGGUCUCAUCUGAUCUCAGAAGCUAAGCAGGGUCAGGCCUGAUUACUACUACUUGGAUGGGAGAAAAUUGAAGGAGUUUUCC
RNAcentral lists this ribosomal RNA (111 nucleotides) under Microcebus murinus (gray mouse lemur). Lineage: Eukaryota; Metazoa; Chordata; Mammalia; Primates; Cheirogaleidae. The record is from RNAcentral.